UACGUAGGGUGCAAGCGUUAAUCGGAAUUACUGGGCGUAAAGCGUGCGCAGGCGGUUUUGUAAGUCUGAUGUGAAAUCCCCGGGCUCAACCUGGGAAUGGCAUCCGAUACGGCGGGACUGGAGUGUGGGAGAGGUUGGUGGAAUUCCCAGUGUAGAGGUGAAAUUCGUAGAUAUUGGGAAGAACACCGGUGGCGAAGGCGGCCAACUGGACCACAACUGACGCUGAGGCGCGAAAGCGUGGGGAGCAAACAGG
This 253-nucleotide ribosomal RNA is filed under the name uncultured bacterium. Its description in RNAcentral is "partial 16S ribosomal RNA". It matches the Rfam family "Bacterial small subunit ribosomal RNA", at positions 524 to 776 of the family's 1533-position model. The record is from RNAcentral.